This 442-nucleotide ribosomal RNA is filed under the name uncultured Caldilineaceae bacterium. RNAcentral's name for it is "bacterial SSU rRNA". It matches the Rfam family "Bacterial small subunit ribosomal RNA", at positions 338 to 795 of the family's 1533-position model. Lineage: Bacteria; Bacillati; Chloroflexota; Caldilineae; Caldilineales; Caldilineaceae. The record is from RNAcentral.
CCUACGGGGGGCAGCAGUGGGGAAUAUUGCCCAAUGGGGGAAACCCUGAGGCAGCAACGCCGCGUGGAGGAAGAAGGUCUUUACGAUCGUAAACUUCUUUUGUGAGGGAAGAGGAAGGACGGUACCUCAUGAAUAAGUCACGGCUAACUACGUGCCAGCAGCCGCGGUAAUACGUAGGUGACGAGCGUUAUCCGGAAUUACUGGGCGUAAAGCGUACGCAGGCGGCAUGGUAAGUCUGACGUGAAAUCUCCUGGCUUAACUGGGAGAGGUCGUUGGAGACUGCUGUGCUUGAGACAAUGAGAGGGGUGCAGAAUUCCCGGUGUAGUGGUGGAAUGCGUAGAUAUCGGGAGGAAUACCAGAGGCGAAAGCGGCACCCUGGCAUUGGUCUGACGCUCAUGUACGAAAGCGUGGGUAGCAAACGGGCUUAGAUACCCCAGUAGUC